CCUACGGGAGGCAGCAGUGGGGAAUAUUGCACAAUGGGGGAAACCCUGAUGCAGCGACGCCGCGGGAGCGAUGAAGUAUUUAGGUAUGUAAAGCUCUAUCAGCAGGGAAGAAAAUGACGGUACCUGACUAAGAAGCCCCGGAUAACUACGUGCCAGCAGCCGCGGUAAUACGGAGGGGGCAAGCGUUAGCCGGCUGUACUGGGUGUAAAGGGAGCGUAGACGGCGGUGCAAGCCAGAUGUGAAAGCCCGGGGCUCAACCCCGGGACGGCAUUUGGAACUGUGCUGCUAGCGGGUCGGAGAGGCAGGCGGAAUUCCUAGUGUAGCGGUGACAGGCGUAGAUAUUAGGAGGAACACCAGUGGCGAAGGCGGCCUGCUGGACGAUGACUGACGUUGAGGCUCGAAAGCGUGGGGAGCAAACAGGAUUAGAUACCCCAGUAGUC
This 440-nucleotide ribosomal RNA is filed under the name uncultured bacterium. Its description in RNAcentral is "partial 16S ribosomal RNA". It matches the Rfam family "Bacterial small subunit ribosomal RNA", at positions 338 to 795 of the family's 1533-position model. The record is from RNAcentral.